AGUUAAUUUAUAAGUUGUAUAAAAAAAAAUUACAAUCAAAAAAACAAUUCACUGUUUUUUAGUUUUAACUUUUUUGUUGAAUUUACUGAAGUGAAGAUGUACUCUCAAAAUAUUAUUACAUUGAUAGCUCUUUGUUGUAUUAUACUAACAUUGGGUUUGCAUUUGAAAAAUAAAAAUGAUGCUAACUUGUCAUCGAAUGAACUAGCAUCAAUAAAUGAAUAUUCUGAAUUUAAACAUUUAUUUGAAUUAGCCAUUGCUGGUACAGAUGAUGAGAAUAUUAAAGAUGUAUUACUAAUUGGUAUACUGGUACUUCUUGAUGAUGUUACAAUGAAAAGCAUAAUUCAGGAUUGUAAAGAUAAAUAAAAUAUUUAUGACAAAGAAAAAUUUAUCAAAUUGAUAAACAAUCAUAUAACUAACGACAAAGUUCAAGACUAUAAAAACAAGAAACCUGAAUUAAUAAAAAGUUUAUUUUUAUUUUAUUCUGAAGGAAACAAGUUUUUGACCAUAUCAAAAUUACAAGAUGUUUUUCAUUCUUAUAAAAUUGAAUUAAAUAAAAAUGACUUAAUAUUACUGAAUAAUUCUAGCAAAUAUAAUAAUAAUCAGUUAAAUUUUGAAAAAUCGAGAAAUGAUUCGGAUGUAAAUGAAUGUAAUUUUGAAAUAUUUGAAAAUUUGUAUUCUGUUAUUGAAUUUUCAUAAAUGCUAAAAAAAGAAGAUUGUUUUAAGAAUAUAUUUAAGUUUUAUUCUGAAGGAUCUCAAUUUUUGUCUAUUUAAGUUUAUCAUGAUGUAAUGGUAACAUAAGUAUCGUAGUGAAUAAAGAACAGUUAAUUAUGUUAAUGAAUUUCAAAGCGAUCUAUAAAGUUCAAUUGGACUUACACGAUGUAUUUGAAAUCAAAAUGAAUUAAAAUUCAACUAAUCACAUUUCAGAAUUUUCUACACUAAUGAAACCAAAUUUAGAAGAAUAUUGUAAAAUUGUGAAAUAAUA
This is a long non-coding RNA of Daktulosphaira vitifoliae (grape phylloxera), 982 nucleotides long. RefSeq lists it as uncharacterized. The transcript has 5 exons. NCBI's taxonomy places the organism in Eukaryota, Metazoa, Arthropoda, Insecta, Hemiptera, Phylloxeridae. The record is from RefSeq and is a predicted model, not a curated record.